UAAUAUUUUGCCUUUGUGCUUUGAUUAAUCAGUCACCACAACUGCUUCUCACUUCUAUUUGAAUUAUAUCCCUACUGCUUGGUCCAGCUGUAAUACCACAUCCACAAAGUCUACAGUGGAUUUUAUUAAUCCUGUAUUGCAAUGCAUCCUAUCAAUUCAAAAUUCCUAAAACGUAUGUAUUGAUCUUAGCUAUUAUUUCAACUUACAAUAUAAACUCCUCACAGGUACAAAAAGUCAAAUAUAUAAGAAUGAAUGCUUAGAAAUUGUUUAAAAAUUAAAUAUGUGAAGUAAUGAAAAUAUAACCAUCUUCAAAUUUUCUCAAGUGUGAAAUACAUAAGCUGUCAAUACUACCUUUCAUUGCUAGUAUAAAUCAGUUGUUACCCUACUAAAAUUCUUAAAGUGUUUAAAAUAGGAAACUAUUUUAAGAUAUUUUUUUUUUUUUUUUUUUUUUUAAGAUAUUUUUUAAAAGGUUAAUAAAAAGCAUACUGAAACUGUGAAACCACAACACAGCACAGGAUAUGAGCAUAAAGUUUUCCAUUUCUGUGUCUUACCAAUUGCCUCAAAAUAAUGAAUUUAUUUUAUAUAAGUCAUAAAUCUAAGUAAUCCUAGAGAAGUGGUUGUUCACCUUUUGGAUAAACAUUCUUUUAAAAAGCUUUGAGAAAAAAAAAAAAAAAAUAAAUAAAUAAAAAGCUUUGAGAAUUUGGUAUUAAUACUGUAUUUCUAUCUCAUAUCUUUAACAUCUAUGAUAAUUUGACAUAUAGAAAUUUUUAUUCAUGUAUUUUGAUAAAUCUGCAUUUUGUAUUUAAAUACAAGAAGUGGGAGGUACAGGCUUCCAGUUAUGGAAUGAAUUAAGUCAUUGAGGAUGAAAGGGAAUAGCGUUGUACAGUGACAGAUAGUCACUCCACUUGUGAGCAUAGCAUAAUACAGAGUUAUCAAAACAUUAUGUUGUACAUCUGAAAGUAAUGUAAUAUUGUGUCAACUACAUGUCAGUAAUACAAAUGAAAAUAAUGUAAAAAUAUUGUACAGUUCUCACAAGAAGAAAGGAAAAGAAGCAAAAGUACUUUUGAAAAAAAUCAAUCUAUAAUAAUGGCUUUUUAAUUUUUAUUUAUUUAUCAUAGUCACACAGGGAGAGAGAGAGAGGGGCAGAGACACAGG
RNAcentral lists this long non-coding RNA (1155 nucleotides) under Canis lupus familiaris (dog). RNAcentral's name for it is "lncRNA (ENSCAFG00845028550.1)". Lineage: Eukaryota; Metazoa; Chordata; Mammalia; Carnivora; Canidae. The record is from RNAcentral.